Molecule: ribosomal RNA, 481 nt
Filed under: uncultured bacterium
Lineage: Bacteria
Description: bacterial SSU rRNA
Rfam family: Bacterial small subunit ribosomal RNA
Source: RNAcentral
GAUGAACGCUGGCGGCGUGCUUAACACAUGCAAGUCGAACGGAAAGGCCUCAGCUUGCUGGGGUACUCGAGUGGCGAACGGGUGAGUAACACGUGGGUGAUCUGCCCUGCACUUCGGGAUAAGCCUGGGAAACUGGGUCUAAUACUGGAUAGGACCAUCGUUUAGUGUCGGUGGUGGAAAGUUUUUUCGGUGUGGGAUGAGCUCGCGGCCUAUCAGCUUGUUGGUGGGGUAAUGGCCUACCAAGGCGUCGACGGGUAGCCGGCCUGAGAGGGUGUACGGCCACAUUGGGACUGAGAUACGGCCCAGACUCCUACGGGAGGCAGCAGUGGGGAAUAUUGCACAAUGGGCGCAAGCCUGAUGCAGCGACGCCGCGUGGGGGAUGACGGCCUUCGGGUUGUAAACUCCUUUCGCCAAAGACGAAUGUGGACGGUAUUUGGAGAAGAAGCACCGGCUAACUACGUGCCAGCCGCCGCCGUAACAC